GCUUACGGCCACACCUACCUCAGCACGCCCGAUCUCGGUCUGAUCUCGGAAACAAAGCAGGGUCGGGCCUGGUUUGUACUUGGAUGGGAGACCGCCCUGGGAAUACCAGGUGCUGGAAGCC
Molecule: ribosomal RNA, 121 nt
Filed under: Esox lucius (northern pike)
Lineage: Eukaryota; Metazoa; Chordata; Actinopteri; Esociformes; Esocidae
Source: RNAcentral